GACGAACGCUGGCGGCGUGCUUAACACAUGCAAGUCGAACGGAAAGGCCCUGCUUUUGUGGGGUGCUCGAGUGGCGAACGGGUGAGUAACACGUGAGUAACCUGCCCUUGACUUUGGGAUAACUUCAGGAAACUGGGGCUAAUACCGGAUAGGAGCUCCUGCUGCAUGGUGGGGGUUGGAAAGGUUCGGCGGUUGGGGAUGGACUCGCGGCUGAUCAGCUUGUUGGUGGGGUAGUGGCUUACCAAGGCUUUGACGGGUAGCCGGCCUGAGAGGGUGACCGGCAACAUUGGGACUGAGAUACGGCCCAGACUCCUACGGGAGGCAGCAGUGGGGAAUAUUGCACAAUGGGCGGAAGCCUGAUGCAGCAACGCCGCGUGCGGGAUGACGGCCUUCGGGUUGUAAACCGCUUUCGCCUGUGACGAAGCGUGAGUGACGGUAAUGGGUAAAGAAGCACCGGCUAACUACGUG
RNAcentral lists this ribosomal RNA (468 nucleotides) under uncultured bacterium. RNAcentral's name for it is "partial 16S ribosomal RNA". It matches the Rfam family "Bacterial small subunit ribosomal RNA", at positions 28 to 507 of the family's 1533-position model. The record is from RNAcentral.